CAGUAGCCGCGGGAAUACGGAGGGUGCAAGCGUUAAUCGGAAUUACUGGGCGUAAAGCGCACGCAGGCGGUCUGACAAGUCAGAUGUGAAAUCCCCGGGCUUAACCUGGGAACUGCAUUUGAAACUGUCAGGCUGGAGUCUUGUAGAGGGGGGUGAAUUCCAGGUGUAGCGGUGAAAUGCGUAGAGAUCUGGAGGAAUACCGGUGGCGAAGGCGGCCCCCUGGACAAAGACUGACGCUCAGGUGCGAAAGCGUGGGGAGCAAACAGGAUUAGAUACCCCUGUAGUCCCUGUCUCUUAUACC
This 301-nucleotide ribosomal RNA is filed under the name uncultured bacterium. RNAcentral's name for it is "partial 16S ribosomal RNA". It matches the Rfam family "Bacterial small subunit ribosomal RNA", at positions 509 to 808 of the family's 1533-position model. The record is from RNAcentral.